GCACAGAGAGGAGACCCAGAGGAGCAGGAGGACCAGGUGUGAAGAUGCAGUCAAACCAGAGGGAGACUCACCUGGACGGAGACGGGAAAAAGUGGACAUAUUUCCCUUCAGAGUUAAAACUGUAGUUUUUAUUUCAUUCUCAUAGCUCUUCACUUGCUGUUUUUAUUUCUGAUGUUUUCAUUAUGAAUUGCAUAGUAGAGAAGAAUUUCAUUGUUGCUGAAAUGUCUUUUAUAGAUGAACUUGCCUUGAAAUAUCAGAAGCAGUGGCUUGUAGCUGAAUAUCCAUAAUGCUUUAUUAAUGCUGAUACGUUACUUGUUUGCACUAUUCAAAUGUAACGCAAUAAAUUGCCUUUAAUAAAUACUGAUCACCAUCUCAUCCAGUCUUUCUUCAUGGAAUUAAAGGACAAAGGGCAGAAAUAAAAUGUAUUUUAGCAGUUAAAUGGUCUCCGUGUUUGAAUGAGAAAACAUGUAACCCAAAAUGUACUUGGCCACUAAAAUAAAUGAAGUAAACUAAGUA
Gasterosteus aculeatus aculeatus (three-spined stickleback) is the source of this 516-nucleotide non-coding RNA. Lineage: Eukaryota; Metazoa; Chordata; Actinopteri; Perciformes; Gasterosteidae. The record is from RefSeq and is a predicted model, not a curated record.